CCAGUCGGCUUCUGUGGGCUGGCCGGCUUUCCAGAGUUCUAUAAGCCGGAGUGGAUUCGAGCCAUUCAUAGCUGGCAGAGAGCGGACGGUUGCUUCACGGACGGCUUGGAAAUUGUCGACGACCCACUCACAACUUUCAAGAGGAAACCGGGUCGAACUAAGCGAGCGGAGAUACGACUGGAAGACCGUUGCCGACCUCACAAGACCGUUUUGGGGGCAAUAGCAAUGUCAGCUGGACUGAAGUAUUUGAUAAAUUCGAAUAACCUUACAAUAAGUGCUUAAAUAAUAUGCCAUGACAGGUUCAGGUAAGUCUGACAAGAAAGGAAACUAAAUGUGUGAAAUGCUGUUAACUUAAAAAAAAAACAGCGGCUCAAUGAACAUUCUUAAACGUGUAAAGGUCUUGCAACACACGUUAAGGAAGGAAGUUGCAUAUUUACGAUAAAGAAAGGAAAUUUGGUCCAAAGAUCUUAUCACAAAUUUGGUCAGCUCAGAAACAAAGCACGGUUGAUGGCAAGACCUACCUGCCAAAAGAACCGCCCACCUUACGAAUGCGCGGCACUUGUUAAACUGAAUAAACUACUUAUUUUCCAC
Long non-coding RNA from Dermacentor silvarum, 591 nucleotides. RefSeq lists it as uncharacterized. Lineage: Eukaryota; Metazoa; Arthropoda; Arachnida; Ixodida; Ixodidae. The record is from RefSeq and is a predicted model, not a curated record. The transcript has 3 exons.